Molecule: long non-coding RNA, 1621 nt
Organism: Amphiprion ocellaris (clown anemonefish)
Lineage: Eukaryota; Metazoa; Chordata; Actinopteri; Pomacentridae
Source: Ensembl
CGUAUCAAACCAAACAGACUGCAGUUCUUUGAGUACGAGUCGAUAACUUUCUACUGCCAGGUGGACUCUUAUGAAGACAUUACAUUUCAGCUGAAGGGGAAAACGCCUUCAUGUGGCAGCACAACUCAGAGAAACCAAACAGAAUCAUCCUGUCACCUGAAGAAUGCCUAUGCUAGCGACAGUGGAGAGUUCUGGUGUGAGGCUGGAGGGAAGAGAAGCAACAGCAUCAACGUCAUCAUAAAAGGACGAUGGAACGUCUCUGUGGUCCUGGAGAGUCCUGCUCUUCCAGUGAUGGAGGGAGAAGCUGUGACUCUGAGAUGCAGAAACAAGGUGAACUCCAGCUUGGCGGCUGAUUUCUACAAAGACGGACUCCAUGUCAGCAGCAGCUCCUCAGGAAAGAUGGACAUCCACAGAGUUUCCAAGUCUGAUGAAGGACUCUACAAAUGCAGCAUCUCAGGAGGUGUAGAAUCAGCAGAGAGUCGGCUGACUGUCAGAGUUCACACACAACGAGCAGAUCACAGCGAGACUCGUCCCUCCUUGGACCACGGCUGCCACAUUUCCAACAUUUACCUCAUCUCCAGGACCGUGAUCACCGCUGUGAUGGUGGUUCUGCUGCUGCUGCUGGUCGGACUUCUUCACUGUGGGAAACUGGGAGCUGCAAAAAAUCCCUCUGAUCCUCCCAGAUGUGAAUGAAAGUGUGAUGAAGAAGAAGAUGGAGUGAAAGAGUGUAAAUAGGUGAUAAUGAAUCAGGUAAUGAGACGUCUGGAGGCUGAUUCUCACAUUUCAUCCACCAUCAUGUCGUCUGCAUCUCUGUUUAUUUACAAGCUGUUUUUCUGAAGCAGCUGCUGUUAAACUCUGAACAAAUGAACAUCUUCUGGAGAAUUUUAUCUUCUGCUGUUUAUUUUCUUCUACUUCAAACUUUGACCACAACCUGGACAGACUUUCUGCAGAACCACAACAUCUCUGCUGCUGUUAAUAGACUCUGACUGUUUGUUUCCAUUUCUAUAAACCAGAUGAGAAAAUUCUACGUGAAUACAGACACACUGAUAAAAACAGACUCAUUUUCUCUGAUUUCCUGGUUUUAAUGGCAGUAAAAACAGCUGGACUCUGUUUAACUUGUUGUUAUUUUAAAUGAAGCCUGCAGGGGGCAGAGUAGGACUGAAAUCAGACACAAAGACACAAGAAAAAGAACAAAUCCAGAUGCUGAUCACAUAUUUAGCAGGUUUUCUCCACAUUUCUGUAAAUAUUUUCUCUCACUGAUAAUAAAUGAUGCUGGGAUGAGAUGUGAACUAAUAUUAAAACCAGGAGCAGUUUUCCAUGAAUUCUAGAUGGAACCAGAAGAACAACAAGCUGCCACUGCUGCACAUGGACUCACUUCUGAACUCUCACAUUCAUCAUUUCACUUUUUCUGGGCUUCUGUGGAGAAAUCAGUCCAGCAGAUCUUCCAGAAUGAACUAUUUGCUAGUGAAGUUGUUGCACGUCAUUAUAGCUGUGAAUUACAAGCAGCAGUUUGUGGAUAGUUUUUGGUCCCGUCAUGUUUUUCUUCACUGUGGUUCAUGUUUCAGUCUAAAGUCCUGCAGUUCUUUGGAAACAGAACAACAUGAAGGAGGAGAGAAUUCAG